Molecule: long non-coding RNA, 885 nt
Organism: Perca flavescens (yellow perch)
Lineage: Eukaryota; Metazoa; Chordata; Actinopteri; Perciformes; Percidae
Exons: 3
Source: RefSeq, a predicted model, not a curated record
GAUGUAGGUAUAACGCUGCAGGAAAAGCCAUAGGCGAGUCAGAGUUAAUUCUAUUUAAACGCUGUGGGUGUCUGCAGAGUGAGAACAUGUUUAUAACUUCGGUUAACCUCCGUUUGAGGAUUAUUGCAAUUUGCAGAAGUGACCGAGGAGAUGGACAGAAUACUCAUUGGACAGAGACCAGGAGCACUCCCAUCCUGUGAGCCAUCCCUUGGACAUUCUCCACCUGUACCUUCACCAUGCUUCAGGGCCAUUUCCAUGGACUUAUGCUGUCAAGCGUGCAAAAGAUGCACUGACCCAGGAAUAAUUGAGGAGGGCCACAGUUGGAGCAUCAGAGCCAGCAGAAAAGGCCCCUUGUGUGGAAGCAGCUUAGCACCUAGCAGAAGCACAAAAAGCAAGAGCAGCUUUAUAAAAGCAUUUGGAUCCUGGUGCAGCAAGCAGCUCAAGCACUCUUGUCCAAGUGCAAGCAUAUUUGAUAGAGCAAACAGUUCUUGCUCAGACAACCCAUUCCAGAACUGGGGAGUCAACAGACUUUGGUUUCCUGGCCUUGUAGCCACUGCUUCAAAAUUCCUCUGUGCCCCCUGCACUACUGUAGCAAGCAAGAGAUUGUUGAUGUUGAUGAAAAGAGGAACAGACUUACAGCAGAGAGAGCAGAAAUGCUUGUUUUUAUGAGAAAGAACUAGAGAUGUUCCGAUACCGGUAUUGGAAACAAUGGGUGACCUGUGUCACCUCCUACUGGGUAGAAGACAAAAGGGCUGUGUGGCUCUUCCUUUCUCUUGUUUGUUUGACUUGUGUCUUAAUUAAUUUUCAGUUUUUUCUGCUAUAUAUUUUUUAUUGGAAUAAAAAUUCCAAUUUGAAAUGUUUUUUGUUAUUUGGAAUGUGGUGUCA